Neodiprion fabricii is the source of this 676-nucleotide long non-coding RNA. RefSeq lists it as uncharacterized. NCBI's taxonomy places the organism in Eukaryota, Metazoa, Arthropoda, Insecta, Hymenoptera, Diprionidae. The transcript is spliced from 2 exons. The record is from RefSeq and is a predicted model, not a curated record.
UCCUGUUAUAAAUUCGUAUGGUUAAUCUUUAAUAUUAUUGCAACAACUAUUAAACAUAAAUCUGAUUUUUACUGGACUUGUUGGGUGUUAUGAUUUAUUUUCAGACAAUUCACAUAGAAUAUGAAUCGAUAAGCUCUAUAAAAGAGGUCUUUGUUUUCAGAAAACUGAGACUUGCUGACUGGUAAGAAAAGCUUACAAACUUGCGAAUGGAAAUUGGGAAUUCUAAUUGGCAUUACUGAUUGACGAUAGUAGUAAUGACAGCAAUUGGUAUAAGAAUCAAAUCACAGAAUGAGGGGUAAAGAUAGUGAUCUGUAUUAAAAAAAUGCUGUAAACUACCCAAUUGCAUACUUACUACUUGAACCUGCGACCUUGGGAGGUUCAAACCUCUUGAAUGGCACGGUGACAGCUUGGGUGGUUGGUGCGACUGUUGUCGUUACUGGAAUACCCCAUUUUCAUGCAACAUCGAUGCAAACGUAAACAGUGAAUAUUUAUAAAUAUCAAAUUUUACGAAUUAAGAAUAAAUUCUUGCACCCCUUGAAUGAAAUCCAAUACAAAGAAAUAAUAAAACCAAUGGAUAGAUGAGACGUAAUGAUAAUCCGUGGCAUUCACACCAGCUCUCAUUAGUAAAGUUCUAAUUUUUGUCACGCAUGGGUGGUGAUGAAAAUGAUACGGAUUA